This 1372-nucleotide ribosomal RNA is filed under the name uncultured bacterium. Its description in RNAcentral is "bacterial SSU rRNA". It matches the Rfam family "Bacterial small subunit ribosomal RNA", at positions 28 to 1381 of the family's 1533-position model. The record is from RNAcentral.
GAUGAACGCUGGCGGCGUGCCUAAUACAUGCAAGUCGAGCGAACGGACGAGAAGCUUGCUUUUCUGAUGUUAGCGGCGGACGGGUGAGUAACACGUGGAUAACCUACCUAUAAGACUGGGAUAACUUCGGGAAACCGGAGCUAAUACCGGAUAAUAUUUUGAACCGCAUGGUUCAAAAGUGAAAGACGGUCUUGCUGUCACUUAUAGAUGGAUCCGCGCUGCAUUAGCUAGUUGGUAAGGUAACGGCUUACCAAGGCAACGAUGCAUAGCCGACCUGAGAGGGUGAUCAGCCACACUGGAACUGAGACACGGUCCAGACUCCUACGGGAGGCAGCAGUAGGGAAUCUUCCGCAAUGGGCGAAAGCCUGACGGAGCAACGCCGCGUGAGUGAUGAAGGUCUUCGGAUCGUAAAACUCUGUUAUUAGGGAAGAACAUAUGUGUAAGUAACUGUGCACAUCUUGACGGUACCUAAUCAGAAAGCCACGGCUAACUACGUGCCAGCAGCCGCGGUAAUACGUAGGUGGCAAGCGUUAUCCGGAAUUAUUGGGCGUAAAGCGCGCGUAGGCGGUUUUUUAAGUCUGAUGUGAAAGCCCACGGCUCAACCGUGGAGGGUCAUUGGAAACUGGAAAACUUGAGUGCAGAAGAGGAAAGUGGAAUUCCAUGUGUAGCGGUGAAAUGCGCAGAGAUAUGGAGGAACACCAGUGGCGAAGGCGACUUUCUGGUCUGUAACUGACGCUGAUGUGCGAAAGCGUGGGGAUCAAACAGGAUUAGAUACCCUGGUAGUCCACGCCGUAAACGAUGAGUGCUAAGUGUUAGGGGGUUUCCGCCCCUUAGUGCUGCAGCUAACGCAUUAAGCACUCCGCCUGGGGAGUACGACCGCAAGGUUGAAACUCAAAGGAAUUGACGGGGACCCGCACAAGCGGUGGAGCAUGUGGUUUAAUUCGAAGCAACGCGAAGAACCUUACCAAAUCUUGACAUCCUUUGACAACUCUAGAGAUAGAGCCUUCCCCUUCGGGGGACAAAGUGACAGGUGGUGCAUGGUUGUCGUCAGCUCGUGUCGUGAGAUGUUGGGUUAAGUCCCGCAACGAGCGCAACCCUUAAGCUUAGUUGCCAUCAUUAAGUUGGGCACUCUAAGUUGACUGCCGGUGACAAACCGGAGGAAGGUGGGGAUGACGUCAAAUCAUCAUGCCCCUUAUGAUUUGGGCUACACACGUGCUACAAUGGACAAUACAAAGGGCAGCGAAACCGCGAGGUCAAGCAAAUCCCAUAAAGUUGUUCUCAGUUCGGAUUGUAGUCUGCAACUCGACUACAUGAAGCUGGAAUCGCUAGUAAUCGUAGAUCAGCAUGCUACGGUGAAUACGUUCCCGGGUCU